This 163-nucleotide non-coding RNA is filed under the name Chromobacterium sp. RNAcentral describes it as "FMN sequence". It matches the Rfam family "FMN riboswitch aptamer (RFN element)". From Rfam's summary of the family: The RFN element is a highly conserved domain that is found frequently in the 5'-untranslated regions of prokaryotic mRNAs that encode for flavin mononucleotide (FMN) biosynthesis and transport proteins. This element is a metabolite-dependent riboswitch that directly binds FMN in the absence of proteins. Lineage: Bacteria; Pseudomonadati; Pseudomonadota; Betaproteobacteria; Neisseriales; Chromobacteriaceae. RNAcentral also lists the same sequence under 1 other name. The record is from RNAcentral.
GCCGGUCUUCAGGGCGGGGUGAAAUUCCCCACCGGCGGUAUGCCGCGGCGUUUGCCGGCGGCGAGCCCGCGAGCGCCGCGCAGUCGUAGCCACGACGCGCGGGUCAGCAGAUUCGGUGCGAAGCCGAAGCCGACGGUGAGAGUCCGGAUGAGAGAAGACGCGC